UAUACUAGUUUGAUUAAUGGGUACUGUAAGGUGGGGGAGAUUGGGGAUGCGUUUAAGGUGUUUGAUGAAAUGUGUGAGAAUGAUGUGAGGCCUAAUUCGCUUACGUACAGUGUUUUGAUUCGCGGGG
This 127-nucleotide microRNA precursor is filed under the name Daucus carota subsp. sativus. Its description in RNAcentral is "sRNA DCAR_mi00107". The record is from RNAcentral. Lineage: Eukaryota; Viridiplantae; Streptophyta; Magnoliopsida; Apiales; Apiaceae.